CGUCCGGCGACCGGCGCACGGGUGAGUAACACGUAUGCAACCUGCCCUCUUCAGGGGGACAACCUUCCGAAAGGGAGGCUAAUCCCGCGUAUAUCGGUUUCGGGCAUCCGAGAUCGAGGAAAGAUUCAUCGGAAGAGGAUGGGCAUGCGGCGCAUUAGCUAGACGGCGGGGUAACGGCCCACCGUGGCGACGAUGCGUAGGGGUUCUGAGAGGAAGGUCCCCCACACUGGUACUGAGACACGGCCCGGACUCCUACGGAAGGCAGCAG
Molecule: ribosomal RNA, 268 nt
Filed under: uncultured bacterium
Lineage: Bacteria
Description: partial 16S ribosomal RNA
Rfam family: Bacterial small subunit ribosomal RNA
Source: RNAcentral